CCUACGGGUGGCAGCAGUGAGGAAUAUUGGUCAAUGGUCGAGAGACUGAACCAGCCAAGCCGCGUGAGGGAUGACGGUCCAGAGGAUUGUAAACCUCUUUUGUCAGGGAACAAAGGCGGGCACGUGUGCCCGGAUGAGUGUACCUGAAGAAAAAGCAUCGGCUAACUCCGUGCCAGCAGCCGCGGUAAUACGGAGGAUGCGAGCGUUAUCCGGAUUUAUUGGGUUUAAAGGGUGCGCAGGCGGUCUGUUAAGUCAGCGGUGAAAGCCCGGGGCUCAACCCCGGUCCGGCGGUUGAAACUGGCAGUCUUGAGUGGGAGAGAAGUAUGCGGAAUGCGUGGUGUAGCGGUGAAAUGCAUAGAUAUCGCGCAGAACUCCGAUUGCGAAGGCAGCAUGCCGGCGCCACACUGACGCUGAGGCACGAAAGUGUGGGUAUCGAACAGGAUUAGAUACCCGGGUAGUC
This 460-nucleotide ribosomal RNA is filed under the name uncultured bacterium. Its description in RNAcentral is "partial 16S ribosomal RNA". It matches the Rfam family "Bacterial small subunit ribosomal RNA", at positions 338 to 795 of the family's 1533-position model. The record is from RNAcentral.